RNAcentral lists this non-coding RNA (20 nucleotides) under Arabidopsis thaliana (thale cress). RNAcentral also lists the same sequence under 1 other name. The record is from RNAcentral. Lineage: Eukaryota; Viridiplantae; Streptophyta; Magnoliopsida; Brassicales; Brassicaceae.
GCCAAGCGUUCAUAGCGACG